CCUACGGGAGGCAGCAGUGAGGAAUAUUGGUCAAUGGACGUGAGUCUGAACCAGCCAAGUAGCGUGAAGGAUGACUGCCCUAUGGGUUGUAAACUUCUUUUAUAUGGGAAUAAAAUGUUCCACGUGUGGGAUUUUGUAUGUACCAUAUGAAUAAGGAUCGGCUAACUCCGUGCCAGCAGCCGCGGUAAUACGGAGGAUCCGAGCGUUAUCCGGAUUUAUUGGGUUUAAAGGGAGCGUAGGUGGAUUGUUAAGUUAGUUGUGAAAGUUUGCGGGUCAACCGUAAAAUUGCAGUUGAAACUGGCAGUCUUGAGUAGAGUAGAGGUGGGCGGAAUUCGUGGUGUAGCGGUGAAAUGCUUAGAUAUCACGAAGAACUCCGAUUGCGAAGGCAGUUCACUGGACUGCAACUGACACUGAGGCUCGAAAGUGUGGGUAUCAAACAGGAUUAGAUACCCCAGUAGUC
Molecule: ribosomal RNA, 460 nt
Filed under: uncultured bacterium
Lineage: Bacteria
Description: partial 16S ribosomal RNA
Rfam family: Bacterial small subunit ribosomal RNA
Source: RNAcentral